UCACUAAGAAAUUCUGAGUCA
RNAcentral lists this non-coding RNA (21 nucleotides) under Caenorhabditis elegans. The record is from RNAcentral. Lineage: Eukaryota; Metazoa; Nematoda; Chromadorea; Rhabditida; Rhabditidae.